Molecule: long non-coding RNA, 266 nt
Filed under: Vigna radiata
Lineage: Eukaryota; Viridiplantae; Streptophyta; Magnoliopsida; Fabales; Fabaceae
Description: long non-coding RNA (VRAD_LNC013677)
Source: RNAcentral
AUGUCAAUAAAAUAUUAUUCAUGUCAAAUUACUUUUCAAAUCUUCAAUUAAGCCACCAUCAACUUCCUCUUCUACCAACUCAACCCCAAAACUCGUUUUCAAAACUCAGCCUCAGCACAUACCAUUACAAAGUCCUAACCCGUCCUUCUUCCCCAGUGAAGCCACUUGCAGAGAGGGGCCCUGUGACCACAACUACUUUUACCCAUGUUAUUGCCUCAUUCUCCCUUCAUCUUUCUCCUCUAUCAGGUACUCCAUUAUCAAAAAUC